GGCCUACCAUGGUGGUAACGGGUAACGGGGUGUUAGGGCACGACACCGGAGAGGGAGCCUGAGAAACGGCUACCACAUCCAAGGAUGGCAGCAGGCGCGCAAAUUAUCCAAUCCCGACACGGGGAGGUAGUGACAAUAAAUAACAAUACGGGGUUCUUUAGGAUCUCGUAAUUGGAAUGAGUACAAUUUAAAUCUCUUAACGAGGAACAAUUGGAGGGCAAGUCUGGUGCCAGCAGCCGCGGUAAUUCCAGCUCCAAUAGCGUAUAUUAAAGUUGUUGCAGUUAAAAAGCUCGUAGUUGAAUUUCGGGGUUAGUAAGUUGGUCAUGCCUUUGGUAUGCACUGGCUUUACUGAUUCCUCCUUCUUGACGAACCAUGAUGUCAUUAAUUUGGUGUUGCGGGAAAUCAGGACUGUUACUUUGAAAAAAUUAGAGUGUUUAAAGCAGGCUAACGCUUGAAUACAUUAGCAUGGAAUAAUGAAAUAGGACGUUAAUCCUAUUUUGUUGGUUUCUAGGAUCGACGUAAUGAUUAAUAGGGAUAGUUGGGGGCAUUAGUAUUCAAUUGUCAGAGGUGAAAUUCUUGGAUUUAUUGAAGACUAACUACUGCGAAAGCAUUUGCCAAGGAUGUUUUCAUUAAUCAAGAACGAAAGUUAGGGGAUCGAAGACGAUCAGAUACCGUCGUAGUCUUAACCAUAAACUAUGCCGACUAGGGAUCGGAUGAUGUUAAUUCUUUAAUGACUCAUUCGGCGCCUUACG
Molecule: ribosomal RNA, 752 nt
Filed under: uncultured Glomus
Lineage: Eukaryota; Fungi; Glomeromycota; Glomeromycetes; Glomerales; Glomeraceae
Description: SSU rRNA
Rfam family: Eukaryotic small subunit ribosomal RNA
Source: RNAcentral